UAUAUAUAUAUAUAUAUAUAUAUAUAUAUAUAUAUAUAUAUAUAAACCUUAAUUUUCUGGUGCCUUCUAAAUCAAAAUCGCACCCUUCUAUAGACUCCACGUCAUCUAUUUUUGGACAGACGUAAUGUUCCAUAAUUUCGAUUAACACUCUUCUUUCUCCCUCUUCGAAACUAUCCGACACACAUGUUCAACACUUUGGAGAAUCGUUACCUUGAUGUUUCAGCCAUUUGAAACCGCCCCAUUCCACUGUUUCCCUCCGCCGAAAGCCAUCAUCCCCGUCUAAUAAAUCCCAAACCUUUAUUCUAACCCAUGGAGGGUGAAAAUCGAGAGCUACAGAGAGUGAAGCCUGGUCAACCAGUUUAUUUUUCGGGGACUGGUCCACGUUUUCUCUAUUUAAUCCCCAUCGAUCGUCUGAAUCCUUUUUAUUCCAUCGAUACCAUCACCACGACCCAUUUCCCGAUUAAUCAUCGUUAGCAUCAUAAUUCGUCAAAUCGAUCUAAAUGCUUAAGUUUCUUCUUCUCAAUUUCAAUCGCCAACACCAAUAUCUAUGCCUAUUUUAUUUGAAUUUCUGGUGGAAGAGAACAACAAGCGUCAGUGGUGUCGAUCAGUGGCUUUGAGUAUAUCGUUGAAUCAAUUUACAGCGAUGAAGACUUUCAAAGUCGUUCCUUAUGGUGCUUAUGUUCGAUUCGGGAUUAAUCCAAGAUUGGAUGUUAAAACCCUAAAUUAUCCGAUGGAUAUCAAAUUGUGAAUACCAAUGUAGAGAACUCUCAUUUAGGCUUACUGACUUUCUACCGUUAACACCAAGCAAGCAUCCUUGGUUGCACUACCAAGAAAAGAUUCCUACAAAUAAGGGAACAUAAACAUGCUACUGUAAUUCUGGAAAUCUUUCUCCUUUGCAAGUACUAAGUGGACAAGUUUAUAUUGAAAAUUUUAAGCAUUAAUGUCAUAAUAACAUUUUUACUGAUUUCACAGGCUUCAAGGAAGGUUGUUUGUUAUCGUUGGUUUGUUUCCUUUUAUUUUUCCUGUGUGACCUAAUUCUCAUUAGUUUCAUGAACUUUAUGUAUUUGAUUUUUACAAAAUUCUGAACAUGAUACAAUAAACAUAAUUGGGACA
Molecule: long non-coding RNA, 1113 nt
Organism: Lactuca sativa (garden lettuce)
Lineage: Eukaryota; Viridiplantae; Streptophyta; Magnoliopsida; Asterales; Asteraceae
Source: RefSeq, a predicted model, not a curated record